GAUGAACGCUAGCGGGAGGCCUAACACAUGCAAGCCGAGCGGUAUUGUUUCUUCAGAAAUGAGAGAGCGGCGUACGGGUGCGUAACACGUGUGCAACCUGCCUUUAUCUGGGGGAUAGCCUUUCGAAAGGAAGAUUAAUACUCCAUAAUAUAUUGGACGGCAUCGUUUAAUAUUGAAAGCUCCGGCGGAUAGAGAUGGGCACGCGCAAGAUUAGCUAGUUGGUGAGGUAACGGCUCACCAAGGCGAUGAUCUUUAGGGGGCCUGAGAGGGUGAUCCCCCACACUGGUACUGAGACACGGACCAGACUCCUACGGGAGGCAGCAGUGAGGAAUAUUGGUCAAUGGGUGCAAGCCUGAACCAGCCAUCCCGCGUGAAGGACGACUGCCCUAUGGGUUGUAAACUUCUUUUGUAUAGGGAUAAACCUACCCUCGUGAGGGUAGCUGAAGGUACUAUACGAAUAAGCACCGGCUAACUCCGUGCCAGCCGCCGCGGUAA
Molecule: ribosomal RNA, 495 nt
Filed under: uncultured bacterium
Lineage: Bacteria
Description: partial 16S ribosomal RNA
Rfam family: Bacterial small subunit ribosomal RNA
Source: RNAcentral